CACGGCAGGAACUGAGGUUUCCUCCGGUCGCCCGGCUGGCCGUUUUUGCUUGUUGGCAUCAAUAAAUCUUUUAUUACCUUGCAACCUAAAUUGAUAGCCUCAUCCUUAUCACAUUUAC
Molecule: long non-coding RNA, 118 nt
Organism: Chiroxiphia lanceolata (lance-tailed manakin)
Lineage: Eukaryota; Metazoa; Chordata; Aves; Passeriformes; Pipridae
Exons: 3
Source: RefSeq, a predicted model, not a curated record